RNAcentral lists this long non-coding RNA (961 nucleotides) under Mus spretus (western wild mouse). RNAcentral's name for it is "predicted gene 45051 (ENSMSPG00010026023.1)". The record is from RNAcentral. Lineage: Eukaryota; Metazoa; Chordata; Mammalia; Rodentia; Muridae.
AGAAAAACAGCACCAAGAAAGCCUCCAAGCUUCCGACAGACCCUGGGUGGCAGAAAUAUUAAAACCCAGCCUGAUAGAUCACACUGGUGGACAGCGUUUCCUGGCCGGGUCCCAGCUACCUUAUAUAACAGUGCAGUUUAACUGGGGUCACUGGCCCUGGGGGCGCUGCUAUUGAUGCAGUGGCUGCUGUAAGGGCCAGGUGGGCAGGAGCCCUGACGCAGAGAGAGGGGCUUGCCCGGGGGCGGGACCGCGGGCGGGCGGGCGACGGGCGGCAGCUCACCUCGGUGGCGCGGCAGGUACACUUGUAGGUCUGGCUUGCGGGGCCGCGUGGGCGCGGGCGUGUGGCGCCUCCUCGCCUUCUCCUUGGCCGCCUGCUUCACCUUCUUGUCGUAGUCGUCCCUGCGGGGAGCCGAGCGGGAGUCAGGCGCUGUCACCCGGCCGAAUCGGGCCGGGCCGGGCCUGGGGCGGGGCGGUACCGAGCGAGCUGGUUCCGACGGAUGUGGUGUACGAAGCCGUGGCUCAUGUCCAGACGCCCGCCGGGCUUGCAGCACAACCCCGGCCCCUGAUCCUGGGCCGCCUCCAUUCGUAUCCUGGGUACAGAACCGCCGUAACCGCCACAACUGCCGCGGAAUUAGGGCCUUCGGCUGCGGACCAUGACUUCCGGCCGCCGACCUCGGCUUCCGGCUCCGAUGCCCUUUUUCCGGUUGCGUAGGGCCAGGCGCAGCGGAGCAGAGAUGCUUUCGAAAUUUGAGAACCUUCAUCUGUGAGCGCCCGUAGAGCUGGAGGUCCUCUUACUUUGUGGUAUCACCUGAACGAAAGAAGGAGUCUAUAGCUAAUACCAGGAAAUUAUUUUUAAAAAUUCGAGUCAUCCACGAAUACUGAAAAUGCAUUCUAUUAGUCUAGAGAUGUUGGCUUUCUUUUCCUAGCCCUUUAGUAUAAUAAACGUCACUAUGAGAUCAAA